Molecule: ribosomal RNA, 254 nt
Filed under: uncultured bacterium
Lineage: Bacteria
Description: partial 16S ribosomal RNA
Rfam family: Bacterial small subunit ribosomal RNA
Source: RNAcentral
UACGGGGGGAGCAAGCGUUGUUCGGAUUUACUGGGCGUAAAGGGCGCGUAGGCGGUCAGCACAAGUCAGUUGUGAAAUCUCCGGGCUUAACUCGGAAAGGUCAACUGAUACUGUGCGACUAGAGUGCAGAAGGGGCAACUGGAAUUCUCGGUGUAGCGGUGAAAUGCGUAGAUAUCUGGAGGAACACCGGUGGCGAAGGCGGCAUCCUGGACCAAUAUUGACGCUGAGGAGCGAAAGCCAGGGGAGCAAACGGG